UUCGCCGGAAGAGGGGCUUGAGGAAA
Molecule: small RNA, 26 nt
Filed under: Bombyx mori (domestic silkworm)
Lineage: Eukaryota; Metazoa; Arthropoda; Insecta; Lepidoptera; Bombycidae
Description: ovarian small RNA-37405
Source: RNAcentral